AAGGAAGUGGCAGAGUGGUUAUGUGGCUGGCUUGAAACCAGCAUAUGGGGGUUCAAUUCCUCCCUUCCUCG
This 71-nucleotide transfer RNA is filed under the name Parabotia kiangsiensis. Its description in RNAcentral is "tRNA-Ser". It matches the Rfam family "tRNA". From Rfam's summary of the family: Transfer RNA (tRNA) molecules are approximately 80 nucleotides in length. Their secondary structure includes four short double-helical elements and three loops (D, anti-codon, and T loops). Further hydrogen bonds mediate the characteristic L-shaped molecular structure. tRNAs have two regions of fundamental functional importance: the anti-codon, which is responsible for specific mRNA codon recognition, and the 3' end, to which the tRNAs corresponding amino acid is attached (by aminoacyl-tRNA synthetases). tRNAs cope with the degeneracy of the genetic code in two manners: having more than one tRNA (with a specific anti-codon) for a particular amino acid; and 'wobble' base-pairing, i.e. permitting non-standard base-pairing at the 3rd anti-codon position. The record is from RNAcentral. Lineage: Eukaryota; Metazoa; Chordata; Actinopteri; Cypriniformes; Botiidae. RNAcentral also lists the same sequence under 8 other names.